GAUGAACGCUGGCGGCGUGCCUAAUACAUGCAAGUCGAGCGAACAGACGAGGAGCUUGCUCCUCUGACGUUAGCGGCGGACGGGUGAGUAACACGUGGAUAACCUACCUAUUAGACUGGGAUAACUUCGGGAAACCGGAGCUAAUACCGGAUAACAUGUUGAACCGCAUGGUUCAACAGUGAAAGACGGUCUUGCUGUCACUUAUAGAUGGAUCCGCGCCGCAUUAGCUAGUUGGUAAGGUAACGGCUUACCAAGGCAACGAUGCGUAGCGGACCUGAGAGGGAGAGCGGCCACACUGGAACUGAGACACGGUCCAGACUCCUACGGGAGGCAGCAGUAGGGAAUCUUCCGCAAUGGGCGAAAGCCUGACGGAGCAACGCCGCGUGAGUGAAGAAGGUCUUCGGAUCGUAAAACUCUGUUAUUAGGGAAGAACAAAUGUGUAAGUAACUAUGCACGUCUUGACGGUACCUAAUCAGAAAGCCACGGCUAACUACGUG
Molecule: ribosomal RNA, 497 nt
Filed under: uncultured bacterium
Lineage: Bacteria
Description: partial 16S ribosomal RNA
Rfam family: Bacterial small subunit ribosomal RNA
Source: RNAcentral